RNAcentral lists this ribosomal RNA (253 nucleotides) under uncultured bacterium. RNAcentral describes it as "partial 16S ribosomal RNA". It matches the Rfam family "Bacterial small subunit ribosomal RNA", at positions 524 to 776 of the family's 1533-position model. The record is from RNAcentral.
UACAGAGGGUGCGAACGUUGCUCGGAAUUACUGGGCGUAAAGCGCAUGUAGGCGGAUCCAUAAGUCGGGCGUGAAAUCCCCAGGCUCAACCUGGGAACUGCGCUCGAAACUGUGGGUCUUGAGUGUUGGAGAGGAUGGCGGAAUUCCUGGUGUAGCGGUGGAAUGCGCAGAUAUCAGGAGGAACACCGGUGGCGAAGGCGGGUCUCUGGCCCGGUACUGACGCUGAAAUACGAAAGCGUGGGGAGCAAACAGG